RNAcentral lists this non-coding RNA (27 nucleotides) under Rattus norvegicus (Norway rat). Lineage: Eukaryota; Metazoa; Chordata; Mammalia; Rodentia; Muridae. The record is from RNAcentral.
UGGGCUUGUCAAGACCGUUCUGUCUUU